AGCAGCCGCGGUAAUUCCAGCUCCAAUAGCGUAUAUUAAAGUUGUUGCAGUUAAAAAGCUCGUAGUUGAAUUUCGGGGUUAGCAGGUCGGUCGUGCCAUUGGUAUGAACUGGUCUCGCUGAUCCCUCCCUCUUGACGAACUGUGAUGCCGUUAAUUUGGUGUCGCAGGGAAUCAGGACUGUUACUUUGAAAAAUUAGAGUGUUUAAAGCAGGCUCACGCUUGAAUACAUUAGCAUGGAAUAAUGAAAUAGGACGUUUGAUCCUAUUUUGUUGGCUUCUAGGAUUGACGUAAUGAUUAAUAGGGAUAGUUGGGGGCAUUAGUAUUCAAUUGUCAGAGGUGAAAUUCUUGGAUUUAUUGAAGACUAACUACUGCGAAAGCAUUUGCCAAGGAUGUUUUCAUUAAUCAAGAACGAAAGUUAGGGGAUCGAAGACGAUCAGAUACCGUCGUAGUCUUAACCAUAAACUAUGCCGACUAGGGAUCGGAUGAUGUUAAUUUUUAAUGACUCAUUC
This 509-nucleotide unclassified non-coding RNA is filed under the name uncultured Glomus. RNAcentral's name for it is "SSU rRNA". It matches the Rfam family "Eukaryotic small subunit ribosomal RNA", at positions 569 to 1081 of the family's 1831-position model. The record is from RNAcentral. Lineage: Eukaryota; Fungi; Glomeromycota; Glomeromycetes; Glomerales; Glomeraceae.